This 510-nucleotide ribosomal RNA is filed under the name uncultured bacterium. RNAcentral's name for it is "partial 16S ribosomal RNA". It matches the Rfam family "Bacterial small subunit ribosomal RNA", at positions 28 to 507 of the family's 1533-position model. The record is from RNAcentral.
GACGAACGCUGGCGGCGUGCUUAACACAUGCAAGUCGAACGAAGAGCGACGGAAGCUUGCUUCUAUCAAUCUUAGUGGCGCACGGGUGAGUAACGCGUAAUCAACCUGCCCUUCAGAGGGGGACAACAGUUGGAAACGACUCCUAAUACCGCAUACGAUCUAACCUCGGCAUCGAGGAUAGAUGAAAGGUGGCCUCUACAUGUAAGCUAUCACUGAAGGAGGGGAUUGCGUCUGAUUAGCUAGUUGGAGGGGUAACGGCCCACCAAGGCGAUGAUCAGUAGCCGGUCUGAGAGGAUGAGCGGCCACAUUGGGACUGAGACACGGCCCAGACUCCUACGGGAGGCAGCAGUGGGGAAUCUUCCGCAAUGGACGAGAGUCUGACGGAGCAACGCCGCGUGAGUGAUGACGGCCUUCGGGUUGUGAAGCUCUGUUAAUCGGGACGAAAGGCCUUCUUGCGAAUAGUGAGAAGGAUUGACGGUACCGGAAGAGAAAGCCACGGCUAACUACGUG